CCUAAGGCCGGCGGAAGAAGCAUUGUCAAGGAACUCGGCAAAAUGGCCCCGUAACUUAGGGAUAAGGGGUGCCUGGGAAACCAGGCCGCAGAGAAUAGGCUCAAGCAACUGUUUAGCAAAAACACAGGUCUAUGCGAAACCGAAAGGUGAGGUAUAUGGGCUGACGCCUGCCCGGUGCUGGAAGGUUAAGAGGAGAGGUUAGCGCAAGCGAAGCUUUGAAUUUAAGCCCCAGUAAACGGCGGCCGUAACAAUAACGGUCCUAAGGUAGCGAAAUUCCUUGUCGGGUAAGUUCCGACCCGCACGAAAGGCGUAAUGAUUUGAGCGCUGUCUCGACAAUGCAUCCGGUGAAAUUGAAGUACCAGUGAAGAUGCUGGUUACCUGCGCCAGGACGGAAAGACCCCAUGGAGCUUUACUCCAGUUUGGUACUGGGACUCGGUAUUGCAUGUACAGGAUAGGUGGGAGGCUAGGAGAUAGUAACGCCAGUUAUUAUGGAGCCGCUGUUGGGAUACCACCCUUGCAGUAUUGGGUUUCUAACCAGCCGCCGUGACCCGGCGGUGGGACAAUGCCAGACGGGGAGUUUGACUGGGGCGGUCGCCUCCGAAAGGGUAUCGGAGGCGCCCAAAGGUUCCCUCAGAAUGGACGGAAACCAUUCGAAGAGUGCAAAGGCAGAAGGAAGCUUGACUGCGACACCGACGGGUGGAGCAGGUACGAAAGUAGGGCUUAGUGAUCCGGUGGUAUUAAGUGGGAAUGCCAUCGCUCAACGGAUAAAAGCUACCCUGGGAUAACAGGCUUAUCACUCCCAAGAGUUCACAUCGACGGAGUGGCUUGGCACCUCGAUGUCGGCUCAUCGCAUCCUGGGGCUGUAGUAGGUCCCAAGGGUUGGGCUGUUCGCCCAUUAAAGCGGUACGCGAGCUGGGUUCAGAACGUCGUGAGACAGUUCGGUCCCUAUCCGGCGUGGGCGUAGGAUAUCUGAGAGGAGCUGUCCUUAGUACGAGAGGACCGGGAUGGACGGGCCGCUGGUGCAUCGGUUAGACUGCCAAGUCUACGGCCGAGUAGCCAAGCCCGGAAGGGAUAAACGCUGAAGGCAUCUAAGCGUGAAGCCCCCCUUAAGAUGAGAUAUCCCAUUCGAAAGAAGUAAACCCCCUUGAAGACGACGAGGUAGAUAGGGCAGAGGUGGAAGUGUGGCAACACAUGGAGCUGACUGUUACUAAUCGGGUGAGGGCUUGAUCAA
This 1231-nucleotide ribosomal RNA is filed under the name metagenome. RNAcentral describes it as "bacterial LSU rRNA". It matches the Rfam family "Bacterial large subunit ribosomal RNA", at positions 1680 to 2925 of the family's 2925-position model. The record is from RNAcentral.